GAUGAACGCUGGCGGCGUGCCUAAUACAUGCAAGUCGAGCGAACAGACGAGGAGCUUGCUCCUCUGACGUUAGCGGCGGACGGGUGAGUAACACGUGGAUAACCUACCUAUAAGACUGGGAUAACUUCGGGAAACCGGAGCUAAUACCGGAUAAUAUAUUGAACCGCAUGGUUCAAUAGUGAAAGACGGUUUUGCUGUCACUUAUAGAUGGAUCCGCGCCGCAUUAGCUAGUUGGUAAGGUAACGGCUUACCAAGGCAACGAUGCGUAGCCGACCUGAGAGGGUGAGCGGCCACACUGGAACUGAGACACGGUCCAGACCCCUACGGGAGGCAGCAGUAGGGAAUCUUCAGCAAGGGGCGAAGGCCUGACGGAGCAACGCCGCGGGAGUGAUGAAGGUCUUCGGAUCGUAAAACUGUGUUAUUAGGGAAAAACAAAUGUGUAAGUAACUAUGCACGUCUUGACGGUACCUAAUCAGAAAGCCACGGCUAACUCCGUG
This 497-nucleotide ribosomal RNA is filed under the name uncultured bacterium. RNAcentral's name for it is "partial 16S ribosomal RNA". It matches the Rfam family "Bacterial small subunit ribosomal RNA", at positions 28 to 507 of the family's 1533-position model. The record is from RNAcentral.